Carya illinoinensis is the source of this 719-nucleotide long non-coding RNA. RefSeq lists it as uncharacterized. NCBI's taxonomy places the organism in Eukaryota, Viridiplantae, Streptophyta, Magnoliopsida, Fagales, Juglandaceae. The record is from RefSeq and is a predicted model, not a curated record. The transcript has 3 exons.
CACCGUAUGGUGCGGGUAGCACCCCUACUCCCCAACCCUCUGUUUUUCUCUAUCCAUCUCUCUCCCAGAAGCCCCCCUCGCGUUGAGCCCAGACCGAGGGUCUGCUCCUCUCUGCAUCGCUGCCAUCAUUCAACGAUGCCGUCUCAGUUUAGAGAUUUGGGCGAAAUUACAAAGGUGCUGCCGUUGACGCCACUAUGCACAGCCAACUGAGACUCCUCUCCCGAGCCUCCAGUUUAUUUUCAAAAAAUUGAAAGUGAAAGGAGAAAAGAACAAACAACAAGAUUGCUAGAGGCUUACUAAAAUGCCAAAUCCCAAGUAUGGGUUUGCUUAUCACCUCACCUCCUGUAAGUCCUACUUUAGCUUAUUUUGGUUUUUCUUUGUAAUGUAAUUUCUGAUUCUAACUGAUUGGUUUUGCUCAACUUUAUGGGUUCUAAGUCCUCUCCUUCAAGCUCCCAAUGUAAGUACCUUAAACAGAGAGAAGUGUUCCUCUAGGAGUCUAACCAAUAUUUUCUUACUUAGGUGAACUUGACUUUGGUUUGGGAAAGCUUGAAAUGCUUUGAGAAGAUUUCACCCUGAAAUCUAUUUAUCAAAAAAAAAAGAUUUCACCCUGAAAUCUAUUAUUUUGUAAAUUCAAAAUAUUCAAGGAGGUACAUUUGGAAACCAAUUCCUUUGGUACCUUCCCCAAGAAUCUAUUAAUGGACAAAUCCAAUAUUUCCAAA